RNAcentral lists this ribosomal RNA (879 nucleotides) under uncultured bacterium. RNAcentral describes it as "bacterial SSU rRNA". It matches the Rfam family "Bacterial small subunit ribosomal RNA", at positions 55 to 927 of the family's 1533-position model. The record is from RNAcentral.
AUGCAAGUCGAGCGCGAAAGCACCUUCGGGUGUGAGUAGAGCGGCGGACGGGUGAGUAACGCGUAGGAAUCUACCCAGUAGUGGGGGACAACAGUCGGAAACGGCUGCUAAUACCGCAUACGCCCUACGGGGGAAAGCGGGGGCUCUUCGGACCUCGCGCUAUUGGAUGAGCCUGCGUUGGAUUAGCUAGUUGGUGGGGUAAAGGCCCACCAAGGCGACGAUCCAUAGCUGGUCUGAGAGGAUGAUCAGCCACACUGGAACUAAGACACGGUCCAGACUCCUACGGGAGGCAGCAGUGGGGAAUAUUGCGCAAUGGGCGAAAGCCUGACGCAGCCAUGCCGCGUGUGUGAAGAAGGCCUUAGGGUUGUAAAGCACUUUCAAUAGGGAGAAAAGGCUCAUCGUUAAUAGCGUUGGGAGUUGAUGUUACCUAUAGAAGAAGCACCGGCUAACUCCGUGCCAGCAGCCGCGGUAAUACGGAGGGUGCGAGCGUUAAUCGGAAUUACUGGGCGUAAAGCGCGCGUAGGCGGUUUGUUAAGUCGGAUGUGAAAUCCCUGGGCUCAACCUGGGAACUGCACCCGAUACUGGCGAACUAGAGUACGAGAGAGGGAGGUAGAAUUCCACGUGUAGCGGUGAAAUGCGUAGAUAUGUGGAGGAAUACCGGUGGCGAAGGCGGCCUCCUGGCUCGAUACUGACGCUCAGGUGCGAAAGCGUGGGGAGCAAACAGGAUUAGAUACCCUGGUAGUCCACGCCGUAAACGAUGUCUACUAGCCCGUUGGGAGACUUGAUUUCUUAGUGGCGCAGCUAACGCACUAAGUAGACCGCCUGGGGAGUACGGCCCGCCAAGGUUAAAACUCAAAUGAAUUGACGGGGGCCCGCACA